Molecule: non-coding RNA, 125 nt
Organism: Triticum aestivum (bread wheat)
Lineage: Eukaryota; Viridiplantae; Streptophyta; Magnoliopsida; Poales; Poaceae
Source: Rfam
UAGCAAAUUUCUCCGUCCGGAAAUAUUUGUCGGAGAAAUGGAUGUAUGUAGAUGUAUUUUAUUUCUAGAUGCAUCUAUUUUUAUCCAUUUCGCCGACGAGUAUUUUCGAACGGAGGGAGUAUUAU